UAUUAUUUUCAUUGCCUUCGUCUUAUAGGUUGACUUUGGUCUGAUCUUAGUAGCUAAGCAGGGUUGGGCACUGUUUGUCGUUGGAUGGGAGACCACCUGGAAACACCAGCCAAUGUAGUCU
RNAcentral lists this ribosomal RNA (121 nucleotides) under Salvator merianae (Argentine black and white tegu). The record is from RNAcentral. Lineage: Eukaryota; Metazoa; Chordata; Lepidosauria; Squamata; Teiidae.